AACGAACGCUGGCGGCAUGCCUAACACAUGCAAGUCGAACGAGACCUUCGGGUCUAGUGGCGCACGGGUGCGUAACGCGUGGGAACCUGCCCUUAGGUUCGGAAUAACUCCCCGAAAGGGGUGCUAAUACCGGAUAAUGUCUUCGGACCAAAGAUUUAUCGCCUUUGGAUGGGCCCGCGUUGGAUUAGCUAGUUGGUAGGGUAAAAGCCUACCAAGGCGACGAUCCAUAGCUGGUCUGAGAGGAUGAUCAGCCACACUGGGACUGAGACACGGCCCAGACUCCUACGGGAGGCAGCAGUGGGGAAUAUUGGACAAUGGGCGAAAGCGUGAUCCAGCAAUGCCGCGUGAGUGAUGAAGGCCUUAGGGUUGUAAAGCUCUUUUACCCGGGAUGAUAAUGACAGUACCGGGAGAAUAAGCUCCGGCUAACUCCGU
This 432-nucleotide ribosomal RNA is filed under the name uncultured bacterium. RNAcentral's name for it is "partial 16S ribosomal RNA". It matches the Rfam family "Bacterial small subunit ribosomal RNA", at positions 29 to 506 of the family's 1533-position model. The record is from RNAcentral.